Molecule: transfer-messenger RNA, 379 nt
Filed under: uncultured Prevotella sp.
Lineage: Bacteria; Pseudomonadati; Bacteroidota; Bacteroidia; Bacteroidales; Prevotellaceae
Rfam family: transfer-messenger RNA
About the family: Bacterial tmRNA, also known as 10Sa RNA or SsrA, is named for its dual tRNA and mRNA-like properties. Its role is to liberate the mRNA from a stalled ribosome.
Source: RNAcentral
GGGGUUGACUGGAUUUGACAGCGGGUUGAGAUGGUACGUAAGCACGCGGAGGCUUCUUGGUUCCCUCCAUAAUCUGAGCUGAGGAAAAAUUAAUUUCGCUGCUUAAUCGAAGUAUAGUAGAUUACUAGCUUUAUUCUCCUGCUAGGCGGGAGAACGAGACGUCGCUCCAAGGAUGUUGUUCCGAAUCCGAAGAUCAAGCGGCGCAGGUUAAAUCGGAAAUAGUUUCAGCAGGCUCCGAUGCUGGGAUGAGAUUUAGGAGCUAAGGCGUCAGUUGGUGGUCCAGGUCUUGCUGGCGUUCGAAAACCAAAGUCUGGAAUAAGCGUGUAGAAAGCGUAUGGUUUCCCUGUUUGGACGAGGGUUCGACUCCCUCCAGCUCCAC